RNAcentral lists this ribosomal RNA (470 nucleotides) under uncultured Parcubacteria group bacterium. RNAcentral's name for it is "bacterial SSU rRNA". It matches the Rfam family "Bacterial small subunit ribosomal RNA", at positions 8 to 491 of the family's 1533-position model. The record is from RNAcentral.
AGAGUUUGAUCAUGGCUCAGGAUGAAUGCUGGCGGCGUGUCUAAGGCAUGCAAGUCGAGCGGGCACCACUGCGAUUACAUCAAGAUGGUGUCAGCGGCAAACGGGAGCGUAACACAUUGGUAACUUCCCCUGCACUCGUGAAUAACCCUUCGAAAGGAGGGCUAAUACACGAUAUUGUCCCGUGGUGAAACUCCACGUGAUGAAAGUUACGGCGGUGCAGGAUAGGCCUAUGUCCCAUCAGCUAGUUGGCGGUGUAAUGGACCACCAAGGCUAUGACGGGUACCAGGCGUGAGAGCGUGGCCUGGCUCACUGGGACUGAGACACUGCCCAGACACCUACGGGUGGCUGCAGUCGAGAAUAUUCCGCAAUGCACGAAAGUGUGACGGAGCGACGCCGCGUGCCGAAAGAAGGCCUUCGGGUUGUAAACGGCUUUUAUGAGGGACGAAUUUGACGGUACCUCAGAAUAAGGG